AUUUAAAUAGCUUAUAUAAUUAAAGUAUAGUAUUGAAGUUACUAUGAAAAUAAAUCAUUAUUUUUAAAUA
This 70-nucleotide transfer RNA is filed under the name Pseudomyrmex ferrugineus. RNAcentral's name for it is "tRNA-Phe". The record is from RNAcentral. Lineage: Eukaryota; Metazoa; Arthropoda; Insecta; Hymenoptera; Formicidae.